RNAcentral lists this ribosomal RNA (119 nucleotides) under Pteropus alecto (black flying fox). The record is from RNAcentral. Lineage: Eukaryota; Metazoa; Chordata; Mammalia; Chiroptera; Pteropodidae.
AUCCACAGCCAUGCCACCCUGAACGUGCCCAAUCUCGUCUGAUCUCGGAAGCUAAGCAGGUGUGGGCCUGGUUAGUACUUGGAUGGGAGACCACCUAGGAAUACUAGUUGCUGUAGGUG